Long non-coding RNA from Dioscorea cayenensis subsp. rotundata (Guinea yam), 781 nucleotides. RefSeq lists it as uncharacterized. The transcript is spliced from 4 exons. Lineage: Eukaryota; Viridiplantae; Streptophyta; Magnoliopsida; Dioscoreales; Dioscoreaceae. The record is from RefSeq and is a predicted model, not a curated record.
UCUAGAUCUGGUGAACCGACACCUCCUGAGACGCCAUCCUCCCUCAUCUUGAUCAGCCGGUGAUGCCGCUUCUGUUCUUGUCCCUCUUCUCUCAUCGCCAGUGCUACGACUUCUCUUCUCACCAUUAGAGGAUCAUUGUCAUCGAUUAGGCGGUUCGAAUUUCAGUGGGAUCUUGGUUGUGGAAUGAAGUCUGAAGACUUUGUUGUAAUUUCUGAUGUCAACUUCACGUAACAUUGUUGAUGGGGAACCAAGUGAAAAGCAAAAAGGAACACCAAAUAAAAGAUGGACAAAAGAAAUGGCAAUGUGUUAAUACCAUUGCUUGCAGACAUGGCAAAGAGUGGUUUGAAGGUGGAUAAGUCAUUCAAAUGUCAAGCAUUUAUUGAAGCUGCAAAUGUUGUCAAUAAUAGAUCCCCCAAUGCUUGCAUGGACGCAAAUAAUAUGGAGAACCACAUGCGCACCUUGAAGCAAAAAUACCAAGACAUAAAAAAAAUUUAAUGAAUCUUAGUGGUGUUGGGUGGAAUGACUUGGAAAAAAUGCUAGUGCUUAAGGAUGAGACGUACCGUACAUAUGUGGAGGGACAUCCAAAAGCCAAAGAGUACUUGAACAAGCCCAUACCUUUAUUUGAGGAGUUACAUUUGGUUGCUGGAGAUGACCAUACCACUGGUGAUUACGCACGAUCAAUCUAUGACCAAUUUGGUGGUACAAUCCAUGAAGAUGACCAUGAUACAAUCCCUGAUAAUGUUCUUGCACCUAAUGAGCUAAUGGACUAUGAAGCUUUUGA